CUUGUCCAUCAACUGCAGAAUGUAGCCCAAAUUGACACGACUGAGAUUCAGGAUCUGAGACAACCGCUUCAUCCAAGCCAGACUCCUUGCUCCCUUGAGCAUCAACUGCAAAAUCCCGCACAAAUUGACCAUCAGACUGAGGUUCAGGACCAGAGACAACAGCUUCAUCCAAGCCAAAAUUCCUACUCCCUUGUGCAUCAACUGCAGGAUCUAGCACAAAUUUACUUUUCGACUGAGGUUCAGGAUCUGAGACAACAGCUUCAUCCAAGCCAGACUCCUUGCUCCCUUGUGCAUCAAAUGUAGAAUCCAGCACUAAUUGCCUUUUGGACCGAGGUGCAGGACCUGAAACAACAGCUUCAUCUAAGCCUAAAUUCUUACUCCCUG
This 384-nucleotide long non-coding RNA is filed under the name Olea europaea (common olive). RNAcentral's name for it is "long non-coding RNA (OEUR_LNC009165)". Lineage: Eukaryota; Viridiplantae; Streptophyta; Magnoliopsida; Lamiales; Oleaceae. The record is from RNAcentral.